This 73-nucleotide transfer RNA is filed under the name Dipodomys ordii (Ord's kangaroo rat). It matches the Rfam family "tRNA". From Rfam's summary of the family: Transfer RNA (tRNA) molecules are approximately 80 nucleotides in length. Lineage: Eukaryota; Metazoa; Chordata; Mammalia; Rodentia; Heteromyidae. The record is from Rfam by way of RNAcentral.
GGAAGUAUGGUUCAAGAGGUAGAAUACCUGCCUGGCAAGUAUAAGGCUUUGAAUUUGAAUGUCAGUGCUGCCA